Long non-coding RNA from Clarias gariepinus (North African catfish), 1384 nucleotides. RefSeq lists it as uncharacterized. NCBI's taxonomy places the organism in Eukaryota, Metazoa, Chordata, Actinopteri, Siluriformes, Clariidae. The record is from RefSeq and is a predicted model, not a curated record. The transcript has 4 exons.
GAAUAAAACCCAUAAGCGGUGUCAUGGCGGAUUUGUAGUCUUUUUCGAUAACAACCUGGUUUGGAAACAUCGAGUGGGAUUUAGACAUGAACUACAUUUCCCAUCUGCCCCGGAUGUUCCCGCCCACCUAGUCAACGCGGAAGACCCACGGAAACAGCUGUGAUUGUCAGUAUUUACAUGUAUUAAGGUAAAAUGCCACGAAUGAUCAGCCGUCUCACAGACGCCGUGCAGUGUGGAACUUCUCAGAGUGACGAGACAUCACAGCUGGAACACAUCGGUCCAGAUAAAGAAUAUGGAACAACAACAUGCUAACAACAUCCAGAGGACACAGCACCAACCAACCAUCAAAAGGCCAACAGUGCUACACAAUCAUCAGCAGCUGAACAGGUUCACUGGAAAGGGGUGUUCCCAAAACUGAUGGGGAUGGACUCCUGUCCACACAAUAAUUACAAGAAUGUGUGUGCGCGCGUGUUUUCGUCAGAGCCGUAAUUUCCACUGGAAUUAAUAAAGAUUCAUCUUAUUUUAAUUUACGGAAGUGUAGUUUUCAUUCUUUACUGACAGACAGGUUUCUAUUUUAACAUGUGUUUACACAGCUGCUGGUUUGUGCAUUUGUUUUCUUGAUCAAUUCGAGGCACUCUGUCAUGCUGAAACUGCAUCAGGGAGAUAUUAUAACAUAAUACAAUAUAUAAAGCUAAACAUAUUCAGAUUUUUUAAAGCAUUAUUCGUGUUGACAUAAAUGGGUACAUAACACAUUUCUGGAAGCAUCUGAGAUAGGAACACUGGCUAAAGAACUGGCAGUUCCUCAUCGAAGGCAUCAUCAUCAUCUUUCAUGACAUACUCUGAGGUAAUACUAUAACUUAUUUGAGGACAGAUCAUCAUAUAUGGAUGUACACGGCCGUCCCAGAGUGUACUUACACUACUGUCUCAUAACGUUAUACAGAAAUCUAAUAUAAUCUACACUUCUGUACUUUUUUUUUUUUGAUAAAUAUAACUAAAUUUUUCAAGUCAAAACAAGCAUUUUACUCCAUGUCAUACCAUGUAUGGUUGUGUGUGUGUGUGAGAACAUUUAAACUAGAUUAACUCAUUCUCUCAUUCCACUGUUACGCUGAUGAUAGUCAGAUCUAUUUUCCUCUUAAAAAGAAAGAUGCCUACUCGGUGAGACCUUUACUUAGGUGUUUUGAGGAAAUAAAGUCCUGGUUGACCCUCAAUUUUUUUACAACUUAAUGAAAAAAAGACAGAGGUGAUGGUCUUUGGGGGAUCUUCUGAGAACCCUUUUGUGGAUCUGGGUUCUUUGUCCCAGUAUGUGAAACCAGUCAUCUCAAAUUUAGGUGUCAAAGUGGAUGCGGAUCUUAGGUUUGACAGUCAGAUUAGGGAUGUUGUUAAA